This is a long non-coding RNA of Glycine soja, 309 nucleotides long. RefSeq lists it as uncharacterized. NCBI's taxonomy places the organism in Eukaryota, Viridiplantae, Streptophyta, Magnoliopsida, Fabales, Fabaceae. The record is from RefSeq and is a predicted model, not a curated record. The transcript is spliced from 2 exons.
UCGGUGUCGGUCUUUGGAGGAGAUUAAAAAUUACGAGAAUCAUGAAAUUCCUCCUCAGUGUCACAAAGUGAAAACACAAGACAAAGAAGGAAGCGAUAACAAAACCAAAAAUGAAACAGAAGAAAUGAUCGUUGCUCAAAGAAAAGCAAAAACAUAAGUUGUGAGAACCUUUGUUGAAGAAUUUCUUUCAGAAGCUCAUUAAAAUCAGCUUCACAUGUUCAACCCAUAAUCAACAAAAAUUAACUAUUUUGUAAUAUUCAAACUGAAUGAAAACAUUAUCAUCAAUUUAUUUAAUACCUAUGUUGACAA